RNAcentral lists this ribosomal RNA (460 nucleotides) under uncultured bacterium. RNAcentral's name for it is "partial 16S ribosomal RNA". It matches the Rfam family "Bacterial small subunit ribosomal RNA", at positions 338 to 795 of the family's 1533-position model. The record is from RNAcentral.
CCUACGGGGGGCAGCAGUGAGGAAUAUUGGUCAAUGGGCGUAAGCCUGAACCAGCCAAGUCGCGUGAGGGAAGACGGCCCUAUGGAUUGUAAACCUCUUUUGUGCGGGGGAAAAUGACGCCACGCGUGGAGGUUUGCAGGUACCGCAAGAAUAAGGACCGGCUAAUUCCGUGCCAGCAGCCGCGGUAAUACGGAAGGUCCGGGCGUUAUCCGGAUUUAUUGGGUUUAAAGGGAGCGGAGGCCGGAGGUUAAGCUAGGCGGGAAAUUUGGUGGCCUAACCUUGGGGAGGCGGUGCAAACUGGAUGUCUUGAGUGCGUGAGAGGCAAGCGGAAUUCGUGGUGUAGCGGUGAAAUGCUUAGAUAUCACGAAGAACCCCGAUUGCGAAGGCAGCAUACCGGCGCGUAACUGACGCUGAAGCUCGAAAGCGCGGGUAUCGAACAGGAUUAGAUACCCGUGUAGUC